CCUANGGGAGGCAGCAGUGGGGAAUCUUGCACAAUGGGGGCAACCCUGAUGCAGCGACGCCGCGUGAGCGAUGAAGCCCUUCGGGGUGUAAAGCUCUUUCGGCAGGGAAGAUUAUGACGGUACCUGCAGAAGCAGCUGCGGCUAACUACGUGCCAGCAGCCGCGGUAAUACGUAGGCAGCAAGCGUUGUUCGGAGUUACUGGGCGUAAAGGGUGUGUAGGCGGUUUUCUAAGUUUGGUGUGAAAUCUCCCGGCUUAACUGGGAGGGUGCGCCGAAAACUGGAAAGCUAGAGUACUGGAUGGGAGAGUGGAAUUCCUGGUGUAGCGGUGAAAUGCGUAGAUAUCAGGAGGAACACCUGUGGUGUAGACGGCUCUCUGGACAGUCACUGACGCUGAGACACGAAAGCGUGGGUAGCAAACAGGAUUAGAUACCCCUNUANUC
Molecule: ribosomal RNA, 440 nt
Filed under: uncultured bacterium
Lineage: Bacteria
Description: bacterial SSU rRNA
Rfam family: Bacterial small subunit ribosomal RNA
Source: RNAcentral